UACGGAGGGUGCAAGCGUUAUCCGGAAUCAUUGGGUUUAAAGGGUCCGCAGGCGGGUUUAUAAGUCAGUGGUGAAAGCCUACAGCUCAACUGUAGAACUGCCAUUGAAACUGUAGAUCUUGAAUUCGGUCGAAGUGGGCGGAAUAUGACAUGUAGCGGUGAAAUGCUUAGAUAUGUCAUAGAACACCGAUAGCGAAGGCAGCUCACUAGGCCUGGAUUGACGCUCAGGGACGAAAGCGUGGGGAGCAAACAGG
This 253-nucleotide ribosomal RNA is filed under the name uncultured bacterium. RNAcentral describes it as "partial 16S ribosomal RNA". It matches the Rfam family "Bacterial small subunit ribosomal RNA", at positions 524 to 776 of the family's 1533-position model. The record is from RNAcentral.